UACAGAGGUCUCAAGCGUUGUUCGGAUUCAUUGGGCGUAAAGGGUGCGUAGGCGGAUUGCUAAGUCAGGGGUGAAAUCCUGGAGCUCAACUCCAGAACUGCCUUUGAUACUGGCGAUCUCGAGUCCGGGAGAGGUGAGUGGAACUGUGAGUGUAGAGGUGAAAUUCGUAGAUAUUCGCAAGAACACCAGUGGCGAAGGCGGCUCACUGGCCCGGUACUGACGCUGAGGUGCGAAAGCGUGGGGAGCAAACAGG
RNAcentral lists this ribosomal RNA (253 nucleotides) under uncultured bacterium. RNAcentral's name for it is "partial 16S ribosomal RNA". It matches the Rfam family "Bacterial small subunit ribosomal RNA", at positions 524 to 776 of the family's 1533-position model. The record is from RNAcentral.